Thermodesulfovibrio yellowstonii DSM 11347 is the source of this 46-nucleotide non-coding RNA. The record is from Rfam. Lineage: Bacteria; Pseudomonadati; Nitrospirota; Thermodesulfovibrionia; Thermodesulfovibrionales; Thermodesulfovibrionaceae.
AUCAAGGCUUUUCUUAAAGCCAUUUUAUUUACAUAAUGAAUCCACU